Etheostoma cragini (Arkansas darter) is the source of this 457-nucleotide long non-coding RNA. RefSeq lists it as uncharacterized. NCBI's taxonomy places the organism in Eukaryota, Metazoa, Chordata, Actinopteri, Perciformes, Percidae. The transcript is spliced from 3 exons. The record is from RefSeq and is a predicted model, not a curated record.
AAUGUCUGGUCAGGGGUGGUUUAUUUUGGGGUUCAGAAGCUGAAGAAAUGAGGAUUUUUGAUGUCUGAUUGGGGGUAAAUCAGGUUCACAAGUUGCCGGAAUAAAGGUUGUUGAUGUCUGGUAGGAGGUGUUAGUUUGGGGUUCAGAAGUUGCCAGAAUAAAGGCCGUUGAUGUCAGGUUGGAGGUGUUAGUUUGGGGUUCAGAAGUUGCCGUAACGAAGGAUGUUGAUGUCUGGUCGGGGGUGUUAGUUUGGGGUUCAGAAGUUGCCAGAAUAAAGGCAGUUGAUGUCUGGUAGGAGGUGUUAGUUUGGGGUUCAGAAGUUGCCAGAAUAAAGGCCGUUGAUGUCAGGUCGGAGGUGUUAGUUUGGGGUUCAGAAGUUGCCGGAAUAAAGGCAGUUGAUGUCAGGUCGGAGGUGUUAGUUUGGGGUUCAGAAGUUGCCGGAAUAAAGGCCGUUGAU